CCUACGGGAGGCAGCAGUGGGGAAUUUUGGACAAUGGGCGCAAGCCUGAUCCAGCAAUGCCGCGUGAGUGAAGAAGGCCUUCGGGUUGUAAAGCUCUUUCAGUUGAGAAGAAAAAAUUGUGACUAAUAAUCACAAUUGAUGACGGUAUCAACAGAAGAAGCACCGGCUAACUACGUGCCAGCAGCCGCGGUAAU
RNAcentral lists this ribosomal RNA (194 nucleotides) under uncultured Nitrosomonas sp. RNAcentral describes it as "partial 16S ribosomal RNA". It matches the Rfam family "Bacterial small subunit ribosomal RNA", at positions 338 to 524 of the family's 1533-position model. The record is from RNAcentral. Lineage: Bacteria; Pseudomonadati; Pseudomonadota; Betaproteobacteria; Nitrosomonadales; Nitrosomonadaceae.